GAUGAACGCUAGCGGGAGGCUUAAUACAUGCAAGUCGAGGGGCAGCAUGACUGUAGCAAUACAGUUGAUGGCGACCGGCAAACGGGUGCGGAACACGUACAGAACCUUCCUUCGAGCGGGGAAUAGCCCAGAGAAAUUUGGAUUAAUACCCCAUAGUACAUUAGAGUGGCAUCACUUUGAUGUUAAAGAUUUAUCACUUGAAGAUGGCUGUGCGGCUGAUUAGGUAGUUGGCGGGGUAACGGCCCACCAAGCCUGCGAUCAGUAACUGGUGUGAGAGCACGACCAGCCACACUGGGACUGAGACACGGCCCAGACUCCUACGGGAGGCAGCAGUGGGGAAUUUUGGACAAUGGGCGCAAGCCUGAUCCAGCCAUUCCGCGUGCAGGAUGAAGGCC
Molecule: ribosomal RNA, 395 nt
Filed under: uncultured bacterium
Lineage: Bacteria
Description: bacterial SSU rRNA
Rfam family: Bacterial small subunit ribosomal RNA
Source: RNAcentral